AUCAUUGACUAACACAUUUUAGUUGACUUUAGAAACACUAGCUUCAGCUUACGAUGCACAAGAGGACGGUCUGGUUCACUCUCAGAACCUCUGAACGAUUAUAUAUAUUUUGACUCAUUGGAAAAUGUUGAUGUUUUAUUGUUGUUCAUACUUGCAACUAAAAUCAUAAAAAUCGAUGUAACUUCAUCAUUUAUCUCACAAAAUAGAGGAUGAUCUACUUUUGUUGAUAUGUUGUGCCCUCUCCAGCUUACUGAAGAUAACCUACAAAAUUUUCUACAUUGUGCGUCACUCUUAUACGUAUUCUCACCGGACUUUGUUUAGGCUUGAUAAGGGACUAUAUUUUGUCCGAAACUCCGCCAAGUUUUUCAAAUUAAAACUCGUGUUUUUUUUUCUUGGACCUUCUAAACCGGAAACUAUAUAUUAUAUCAACUAAAGGUCGAAACUGAAGAAACAAUGGAUUUAUACAAGAUUCUAUACAGGAUCCUAUGUAGGUGGCUAUAUAGGAACCUAUAUAAAAAUUUUCAGUAGGGAUUGGAGCAAUGUUCAUGAAAAAUA
This is a long non-coding RNA of Belonocnema kinseyi, 555 nucleotides long. RefSeq lists it as uncharacterized. NCBI's taxonomy places the organism in Eukaryota, Metazoa, Arthropoda, Insecta, Hymenoptera, Cynipidae. The transcript is spliced from 3 exons. The record is from RefSeq and is a predicted model, not a curated record.